UGCAAGUCGAGCGGAUGAAGGGAGCUUGCUCCUGGAUUCAGCGGCGGACGGGUGAGUAAUGCCUAGGAAUCUGCCUGGUAGUGGGGGAUAACGUCCGGAAACGGGCGCUAAUACCGCAUACGUCCUGAGGGAGAAAGUGGGGGAUCUUCGGACCUCACGCUAUCAGAUGAGCCUAGGUCGGAUUAGCUAGUUGGUGGGGUAAAGGCCUACCAAGGCGACGAUCCGUAACUGGUCUGAGAGGAUGAUCAGUCACACUGGAACUGAGACACGGUCCAGACUCCUACGGGAGGCAGCAGUGGGGAAUAUUGGACAAUGGGCGAAAGCCUGAUCCAGCCAUGCCGCGUGUGUGAAGAAGGUCUUCGGAUUGUAAAGCACUUUAAGUUGGGAGGAAGGGCAGUAAGUUAAUACCUUGCUGUUUUGACGUUACCAACAGAAUAAGCACCGGCUAACUUCGUGCCAGCAGCCGCGGUAAUACGAAGGGUGCAAGCGUUAAUCGGAAUUACUGGGCGUAAAGCGCGCGUAGGUGGUUCAGCAAGUUGGAUGUGAAAUCCCCGGGCUCAACCUGGGAACUGCAUCCAAAACUACUGAGCUAGAGUACGGUAGAGGGUGGUGGAAUUUCCUGUGUAGCGGUGAAAUGCGUAGAUAUAGGAAGGAACACCAGUGGCGAAGGCGACCACCUGGACUGAUACUGACACUGAGGUGCGAAAGCGUGGGGAGCAAACAGGAUUAGAUA
RNAcentral lists this ribosomal RNA (733 nucleotides) under uncultured Pseudomonas sp. RNAcentral's name for it is "bacterial SSU rRNA". It matches the Rfam family "Bacterial small subunit ribosomal RNA", at positions 56 to 784 of the family's 1533-position model. Lineage: Bacteria; Pseudomonadati; Pseudomonadota; Gammaproteobacteria; Pseudomonadales; Pseudomonadaceae. The record is from RNAcentral.